Molecule: ribosomal RNA, 111 nt
Filed under: Xenorhabdus szentirmaii
Lineage: Bacteria; Pseudomonadati; Pseudomonadota; Gammaproteobacteria; Enterobacterales; Morganellaceae
Also listed under: 1 other name
Source: RNAcentral
UGGCGGCAAUAGCGCGGUGGUCCCACCUGACCCCAUGCCGAACUCAGCAGUGAAACGCCGUAGCGCCGAUGGUAGUGUGGGGUCUCCCCAUGUGAGAGUAGGAUACUGCCA